Molecule: ribosomal RNA, 465 nt
Filed under: uncultured bacterium
Lineage: Bacteria
Description: partial 16S ribosomal RNA
Rfam family: Bacterial small subunit ribosomal RNA
Source: RNAcentral
GACGAACGCUGGCGGCGUGCUUAACACAUGUAAGUCGAACGGAAAGGCCCUGCUUGCAGGGUACUCGAGUGGCGAACGGGUGAGUAACACGUGGGUGAUCUGCCCUGCACUUCGGGAUAAGCCUGGGAAACUGGGUCUAAUACCGGAUAGGAGCCAUUUUUAGUGUGAUGGUUGGAAAGUUUUUUCGGUGUAGGAUGAGCUCGCGGCCUAUCAGCUUGUUGGUGGGGUAAUGGCCUACCAAGGCGGCGACGGGUAGCCGGCCUGAGAGGGUGGACGGCCACAUUGGGACUGAGAUACGGCCCAGACUCCUACGGGAGGCAGCAGUGGGGAAUAUUGCACAAUGGGCGCAAGCCUGAUGCAGCGACGCCGCGUGGGGGAUGACGGCCUUCGGGUUGUAAACUCCUUUCGCUAGGGACGAAGCUUUUUGUGACGGUACCUAGAUAAGAAGCACCGGCUAACUACGUG